This 431-nucleotide ribosomal RNA is filed under the name uncultured bacterium. RNAcentral describes it as "bacterial SSU rRNA". It matches the Rfam family "Bacterial small subunit ribosomal RNA", at positions 29 to 506 of the family's 1533-position model. The record is from RNAcentral.
ACGAACGCUGGCGGCAGGCUUAACACAUGCAAGUCGAACGAUGUAGCAAUACAUAGUGGCGCACGGGUGAGUAACGCGUGGGAAUGUACCAUUUGGUGGGGAAUAACUUCGGGAAACUGAAGCUAAUACCGCAUACGCCCUUCGGGGGAAAGAUUUAUCGCCAAAUGAUCAGCCCGCGUGAGAUUAGGUAGUUGGUGGGGUAAUGGCCUACCAAGCCUACGAUCUCUAGCUGGUCUGAGAGGAUGAUCAGCCACACUGGAACUGAGACACGGUCCAGACUCCUACGGGAGGCAGCAGUGGGGAAUAUUGGGCAAUGGAGGAAACUCUGACCCAGCCAUGCCGCGUGAAUGAUGAAGGCUUUAGGGUUGUAAAGUUCUUUCGCCGAUGAAGAUAAUGACGGUAGUCGGAGAAGAAGCCCCGGCUAACUUCGU